GAUGAACGCUGGCGGCGUGCCUAAUACAUGCAAGUCGAGCGAACAGACGAGGAGCUUGCUCCUCUGACGUUAGCGGCGGACGGGUGAGUAACACGUGGAUAACCUACCUAUAAGACUGGGAUAACUUCGGGAAACCGGAGCUAAUACCGGAUAAUAUAUUGAACCGCAUGGUUCAAUAGUGAAAGACGGUUUUGCUGUCACUUAUAGAUGGAUCCGCGCCGCAUUAGCUAGUUGGUAAGGUAACGGCUUACCAAGGCAACGAUGCGUAGCCGACCUGAGAGGGUGAUCGGCCACACUGGAACUGAGACACGGUCCAGACUCCUACGGGAGGCAGCAGUAGGGAAUCUUCCGCAAAGGGCGAAAGCCUGACGGAGCAACGCCGCGUGAGUGAUGAAGGUCUUCGGAUCGUAAAACUCUGUUAUUAGGGAAGAAAAAAUGUGUAAGAAAAUAUGCACGUCUUGACGGUACCUAAUGAGAAAGCCACGGCUAACUACGUG
RNAcentral lists this ribosomal RNA (497 nucleotides) under uncultured bacterium. RNAcentral describes it as "partial 16S ribosomal RNA". It matches the Rfam family "Bacterial small subunit ribosomal RNA", at positions 28 to 507 of the family's 1533-position model. The record is from RNAcentral.